GACGAACGCUGGCGGCGUGCUUAACACAUGCAAGUCGAACGGAAAGGCCCUGCUUUUGUGGGGUGCUCGAGUGGCGAACGGGUGAGUAACACGUGAGUAACCUGCCCUUGACUUUGGGAUAACUUCAGGAAACUGGGGCUAAUACCGGAUAGGAGCUCCUGCUGCAUGGUGGGGGUUGGAAAGUUUCGGCGGUUGGGGAUGGACUCGCGGCUUAUCAGCUUGUUGGUGGGGUAGUGGCUUACCAAGGCUUUGACGGGUAGCCGGCCUGAGAGGGUGACCGGCCACAUUGGGCCUGAGAUACGGACCAGACUCCUACGGGCGGCAGAAGUGGGGAAUAUUGCACAAUGGGCGGAAGCCUGAUGCAGCAACGCCGCGUGCGGGAUGACGGCCUUCGGGUUGUAAACCGAUUUCGCCUGUGACGAAGCGUGAGUGACGGUAAUGGGUAAAGAAGCACCGGCUAACUACGUG
RNAcentral lists this ribosomal RNA (468 nucleotides) under uncultured bacterium. RNAcentral's name for it is "partial 16S ribosomal RNA". It matches the Rfam family "Bacterial small subunit ribosomal RNA", at positions 28 to 507 of the family's 1533-position model. The record is from RNAcentral.